Molecule: non-coding RNA, 1127 nt
Organism: Pelobates cultripes (western spadefoot toad)
Lineage: Eukaryota; Metazoa; Chordata; Amphibia; Anura; Pelobatidae
Source: the annotation of a GenBank genome assembly
UUGUAAUCGGUGAUUCACUAAACUCUGCAUUGUGGAGAAUUGCUAAAUUUAGUUAAAAUAGCUCAUCUGAAAGAAUCCAGCUAAAGCCACAGCUUCAUUAGUCAAAUCUCAAUUUUGUUAUUCAUUUUUUGUUUUUUGCUAUUUAACAUGUGAUGAAUAAACACUGGAGAUUCUCUUUGCCAAAUGUCAUGGUCCAAAGGAUUACCGUUGGUACAAUUUAAUCAAUCAGCAAGCUACCGUCUUUAUAUAAGGGUUCCUCAAAAAUCCAUAUCACAAGUUUGCAAACCAGAGGAAUUAUUCAAUGCUUUUUGUACUGAAGUGGGCAGGAUAUAGAGUGGCCAUAGCGAAUGUUGCGUGCAUGUUAUCCCUAAUAUCGUUUUGGAAUAACAAUAACAUUUUUGAAAAACAUCAGUAUCCAUGUGCUCUUAGGCCUGCUUCACGCUCAACUUUAAAUAAAUAUUUAAUUUGUUAACUUUCAAAACGUCCAUCUAUACUUUCUGCUUUCCUCUGCGAUUUAAUACUCCCACUCAAAUUAACAAUUAUUCUUUAGUGAUUAUCUAUGUAUCUUUUCAAGUGUCAUAUGGAUUUUAAAUGCAUUUUCUGAAUAUGUGUUUUCAGUAGCAACGUUAGCAGUCUCCUCCUGAAGGUGUGAAAGAGAUAAAAUUUAAGCAUUUUCCCAACCACAUUAAUGGGCUCCUUGAAGUGGUCUGGGUGCAGUGUCCCUAUUGCACUUAGUGCUGAAAUGUUAAACAUUGCAGUUCCAGAGAAACUGCAAUGUUUACAUUGAAGCACUAAGUCUGCCCUCCUACCAGACAGCCACUGGAGGCGCUUCCUGGAUCCUCCCUCCCUCCUCCCUCAGCAUCAUUUUCACAAUGACACAAAUAACCAAACAUUUACUAUGUUCUUUAGUUUUCUCAUUUUACCUUAAGUCUUCGACCUCCUCAUAACCAAAGUCCAACUGCUCGUUUUACUGCUCAUUUUAUGAACAUUUGUUUCUAGACAUUCAUGAGAUAAUUCUAGCCCCACCUUAAACUCAUCAUUUAGGAUUCAUCUAACCCUACUUCAUCUACCAAAACACAGAGUCUCUUUUUAACAAUAACCCUUCCCAUCUAAGGCCUCAAUUUAAU